CCUACGGGUGGCUGCAGUGGGGAAUUUUGGACAAUGGGGGCAACCCUGAUCCAGCCAUGCCGCGUGCGGGAAGAAGGCCUUCGGGUUGUAAACCGCUUUUGUCAGGGAAGAAAUCUUCCGAGCUAAUACCUUGGGAGGAUGACGGUACCUGAAGAAUAAGCACCGGCUAACUACGUGCCAGCAGCCGCGGUAAUACGUAGGGUGCAAGCGUUAAGCGGAACUACUGGGGGUGGAGCGUCCGGAGAGGGGUGAAAGCCCCGGGCUUAACCUGGGAACUGCACUUGUGACUGUACGGCUGGAGUACGGCAGAGGGGGAUGGAAUUCCGCGUGUAGCAGUGAAAUGCGUAGAUAUGCGGAGGAACACCGAUGGCGAAGGCAGUCCCCUGGGCCUGUACUGACGCUCAUGCACGAAAGCGUGGGGAGCAAACAGGAUUAGAUACCCGUGUAGUC
Molecule: ribosomal RNA, 450 nt
Filed under: uncultured bacterium
Lineage: Bacteria
Description: partial 16S ribosomal RNA
Rfam family: Bacterial small subunit ribosomal RNA
Source: RNAcentral